UUAAUUGAAGCCAAAUAAAGAGGCAUAUUACUGUUAAUAAUAAAAUUGAAUUAAUAUUCCAAUUAAA
This 67-nucleotide transfer RNA is filed under the name Gilpinia sp. RNAcentral's name for it is "tRNA-Asn". The record is from RNAcentral. Lineage: Eukaryota; Metazoa; Arthropoda; Insecta; Hymenoptera; Diprionidae.